CCCAGACUCCUACGGGAGGCAGCAGUGGGGGAUAUUGCACAAUGGGGGGAACCCUGAUGCAGCGACGCCGCGUGGGUGAAGAAGCGCCUCGGCGCGUAAAGCCCUGUCAGCAGGGAAGAAAAUGACGGUACCUGAAGAAGAAGCCCCGGCUAACUACGUGCCAGCAGCCGCGGUAAUACGUAGGGGGCAAGCGUUAUCCGGAUUUACUGGGUGUAAAGGGAGCGUAGACGGAAAGGCAAGUCAGAAGUGAAAGCCCAAGGCUCAACCAUGGGACUGCUUUUGGAACUGCGUGGCUGGAGUGCAGGAGGGGCAGGCGAAAUUCCUGGUGUAGCGGUGAAAUGCGUAGAUAUCAGGAGGAACACCGGUGGCGAAGGCGGCCUGCUGGACUGCGACUGACGUUGAGGCCCGAAAGCGUGGGGAGCAAACAGGAUUAGAUACCCCAGUAA
This 446-nucleotide ribosomal RNA is filed under the name uncultured bacterium. Its description in RNAcentral is "partial 16S ribosomal RNA". It matches the Rfam family "Bacterial small subunit ribosomal RNA", at positions 330 to 793 of the family's 1533-position model. The record is from RNAcentral.